This 45-nucleotide non-coding RNA is filed under the name Schistosoma margrebowiei. Lineage: Eukaryota; Metazoa; Platyhelminthes; Trematoda; Strigeidida; Schistosomatidae. The record is from RNAcentral.
AUCAAGCUGACGAGUCCCAAACAGGACGAAACGCGUGUCCUGGAU